RNAcentral lists this long non-coding RNA (210 nucleotides) under Physcomitrium patens. RNAcentral describes it as "long non-coding RNA (PPAT_LNC010151)". The record is from RNAcentral. Lineage: Eukaryota; Viridiplantae; Streptophyta; Bryopsida; Funariales; Funariaceae.
UAAGAAAAGUAAAGGUUACAAGAAAUCCAAUCUAUUUGAAGAUUUGUUUUUUUAACCAUAAUAAUCCUAAAAUAAUUAGAUUGGAUGGAGAUCUUAUGACAUUAAAUAUUACUGUACUAUUAUAAACUUUAAUUGCUACAUUUAAACAAAUAGUCUCAUAAGUAAUGUCUCUAGAAGACAACAAAUGACUAUCUAUGAUUUCUACAUAUA